ACGCUCGACACCUACGGCAGGCAGCAGUAGGGAAUCUUCCACAAUGGACGCAAGUCUGAUGGAGCAACGCCGCGUGAGUGAAGAAGGUUUUCGGAUCGUAAAGCUCUGUUGUUGGUGAAGAAGGAUAGAGGUAGUAACUGGCCUUUAUUUGACGGUAAUCAACCAGAAAGUCACGGCUAACUACGUGUCAGCAGCCGCGGUAAUCUGAGCGGGCUGGCAAGGC
Molecule: ribosomal RNA, 223 nt
Filed under: uncultured bacterium
Lineage: Bacteria
Description: partial 16S ribosomal RNA
Rfam family: Bacterial small subunit ribosomal RNA
Source: RNAcentral